UCGUUUUAUCUUUUCGUCUUCUUUGCGCCUGCGUCGACAGAACUCUUUUGCUUUGUUCUUUGCUAUUUGCAAUCGUCACACGGAGUUUUAAUACAUAAGUGAAAAUAAGUAAUCUGUGAUUAUUAUUAUUAUCAGCGGCGGUGAAGAUGAAAAUACCCGACGAGCCAGCAGAAAAAGUGAUUCGGAAGGCUAUUCACAACAUUAAGAAUAGUCAUUUUCAGAAGACCUCAAG
Drosophila miranda is the source of this 232-nucleotide long non-coding RNA. RefSeq lists it as uncharacterized. NCBI's taxonomy places the organism in Eukaryota, Metazoa, Arthropoda, Insecta, Diptera, Drosophilidae. The record is from RefSeq and is a predicted model, not a curated record. The transcript has 2 exons.